RNAcentral lists this ribosomal RNA (497 nucleotides) under uncultured bacterium. RNAcentral describes it as "partial 16S ribosomal RNA". It matches the Rfam family "Bacterial small subunit ribosomal RNA", at positions 28 to 507 of the family's 1533-position model. The record is from RNAcentral.
GAUGAACGCUGGCGGCGUGCCUAAUACAUGCAAGUCGAGCGAACAGACGAGGAGCUUGCUCCUCUGACGUUAGCGGCGGACGGGUGAGUAACACGUGGAUAACCUACCUAUAAGACUGGGAUAACUUCGGGAAACCGGAGCUAAUACCGGAUAAUAUAUUGAACCGCAUGGUUCAAUAGUGAAAGACGGUUUUGCUGUUACUUAUAGAUGGAUCCGCGCCGCAUUAGCUAGUUGGUAAGGUAACAGCUUACCAAGGCAACGAUGCGUAGCCGACCUGAGAGGGUGAUCGGCCACACUGGAACUGAGACACGGUCCAGACUCCUACGGGAGGCAGCAGUAGGGAAUCUUCCGCAAUGGGCGAAAGCCUGACGGAGCAACGCCGCGUGAGUGAUGAAGGUCUUCGGAUCGUAAAACUCUGUUAUUAGGGAAGAACAAAUGUGUAAGUAACUAUGCACGUCUUGACGGUACCUAAUCAGAAAGCCACGGCUAACUACGUG